Molecule: ribosomal RNA, 460 nt
Filed under: uncultured Diversispora
Lineage: Eukaryota; Fungi; Glomeromycota; Glomeromycetes; Diversisporales; Diversisporaceae
Description: SSU rRNA
Rfam family: Eukaryotic small subunit ribosomal RNA
Source: RNAcentral
AGCAGCCGCGGUAAUUCCAGCUCCAAUAGCGUAUAUUAAAGUUGUUGCAGUUAAAAAGCUCGUAGUUGAACUUCGGGGUUUACCCAUUGGUCAGGCUUAAUUGUCUGUACUGGUGAGAUAAAUCUCUACCUUCUGAGGAACUUUCAUGCCAUUUAUUUAGUGUGAUGGGAAAUCAGGACUGUUACUUUGAAAAAUUAGAGUGUUUAAAGCAGGCUAACGUCUGAAUAUAUUAGCAUGGAAUAAUGAAAUAGGACGGAUUGAUUCUAUUUCGUUGGUUUCUAGGGUCACCGUAAUGAUUAAUAGGGAUAGUUGGGGGCAUUAGUAUUCAAUUGUCAGAGGUGAAAUUCUUGGAUUUAUUGAAGACUAACUACUGCGAAAGCAUUUGCCAAGGAUGUUUUCAUUAAUACAAGAACGAAGGUUAGGGGAUCGAAGACGAUCAGAUACCGUCGUAGUCUUAACC